Podarcis muralis (Common wall lizard) is the source of this 484-nucleotide long non-coding RNA. RefSeq lists it as uncharacterized. The record is from RefSeq and is a predicted model, not a curated record. Lineage: Eukaryota; Metazoa; Chordata; Lepidosauria; Squamata; Lacertidae.
AUAAAGAACCACAGAACUUUUAGAAGAUACCUGAAGGCAGUCUGUAUCAGUUUGGAAAGGUACUCUUGCACACCUCAGAACAUUUGCGGCAUAAAAUGUUUCAGGAUUUCAGCAGGAAGAUAUAACAACAAUACAUCAACAAAAGGAACAAGAAAUAGAGCUCCCAUUCCUGCCCAUCUUCUUCAGCAACUGUUUGGACAUUUCACGCUGUUUCUUCAGUCCACAGAGCAGCUCCAUUAGUCCCACAAAAUAUCCAGUCAUGUCAGGUCAAUCCUGUCUUGAAAGACUCAUGGGUAGCUGGCAGCCUUCUGACACCAGCCUGUAUAUUUAUAUAAACUAAUAAAGCAAAUCUGCAUUUCGCCAAAACCAGCAUAACUGUCCUGAUUUCGCAAUGCUCGCUUCUCACUUUCCUUUACUCUUUCAUAAUUCUAGGGAAGGUGGUGCCAUCGCACAGUAAUGUUUUGCCGUCACCAUCCUUGCUGCU